Amaranthus tricolor (Joseph's coat) is the source of this 1663-nucleotide RNA transcript. RefSeq lists it as uncharacterized. The transcript is spliced from 5 exons. The record is from RefSeq and is a predicted model, not a curated record. NCBI's taxonomy places the organism in Eukaryota, Viridiplantae, Streptophyta, Magnoliopsida, Caryophyllales, Amaranthaceae.
UGAUAUACAAUGCAUCUUUUCAGAGACGAAAUUGUCCUUGAGAUUGAGACCUCGGAUAAUGAGCAUCAUAGUUAUGACACUGAAGAUAACCAAAUUGUUAGAUACGAGCGUAUGGCUGAAGACGCUCCACCACUUAACAAUGAUUAUGACGCUGAAGACGCCCCACCAACGGAUGCUCCCACUACCACUAAGAAAAGAAAAGGGCAAGGUCCUACGAAAAACCUGAAAGUCACAGAACCCAUGCAUUUGGAAUACAAUGCAUUGGGUCAAGCCUGCAGAAAAUGGCGCAGGCAAUAUGGAAAACAAGUGGGCCUAUAUAUUCGCAAGAUUUCCAUAUUGUACGCAUGGAACGAGAUUCCAGAGGGUUUGAAGAACUCUCUAUAGAAUGAUAUUGUGAAUCUUUUUCACAUCGAAAGCAAUGAGGUCAAGAAGAAUGUGUUUCUUUUCGCCGUUGCUGAAAGAUUCAGAGAUUUCAAAUCCAAGCUAGUAACCGGCUGGAUCACGAAAAAGCGUGCCCGUACGACCAAAAAGGUCAAAACGGCAAACGAAGGUGGAGAGCAAGCACCUUCGAAGAUGCCCUACGAAAUAUGGGGUCACAUAUCAAAGAAGGAAUGGGAGGCUUUUGUUGCCAAAAGAACAACUCCCAUUGAAGUUGAAAAGUGUGGUAUAGCUUCUGAAUCAGCAAGCAAAAGGAAGUUUUACCAUCGCUUGGGCCCAAAAACGUAUGAUGAGGUUCGAAAAGAGUGGGUGGAUGGGGGUUUAUACCCCAAUCAAAGUCCAGCCACGCCCUCAUCUACGACUACCUCCGCAACCGUGAAUAAUCCUACUAGAGAUCGGGUGCGAGAUUGGUAUUGUGGGCUUCAUUCCCGAGAUGCAAGUGGUAAAUUUACCAUUAAUGAUCCGGGAACGAAGAAGGUUGCUAAUGCUGUGAUGGGUUGGAAGGAAAAAGAAGCUACGGGGGAGUUCACCCCAAGAGACAAUGUUGAUGCAUUGCAUAUGGUCUUAGGGAAAGACCAUAGAGGGCGGGUAGUCGGAAAAGGAGGCGUCUGCGUGGAGUUAUAGAAGGCAUUUGGCAAAGAGUGUGUUGCUACUCAAUCUCGAACGAUGCCACCUGAUGAAGUAGCAACCCUCCGAGCAGAAAUUACGAAGGACGUUCUCGCCAAAGUGGCACUCGUGUUGCAGAAGAUAGGAGCACCCAUUGUUGACUUGGCAAACCUGAUUGUCGAGGAUCAGCAAAGUCAACAUCGGGAUCCUAACGCUUCGGUCGAGCCACACCCGAGCCCAUUACCUCCGUAGCACUUCAGCCCAUUACUACCCCUGAAGGGCAAAAUCCCACACCGGAGACCAUGAACUCCAUUGCUCAAAAUCCGGAGCCAACUCCCGAGCCAGUGGUACAGGAGGCGACUUUUUGUUCUCUUUUGCUGCCUCAGUUAUGUUGCUAGUGAUGGCGACUUAACUGAGGUUGCAUAUGGUGUGGUACAGCUAACCAAAGAGGGCCAAACAGUGCAUUCAAUGCCUGUUACAAGUAGCCACAUCGGUGUGACCGUGGAAACUAUUCUAAAGGGGUUUGAAGAUUUCUCACUCCCAGUUCCAAUGCCAGAAUGGAGCCUUGAGAAACUAUCAGACGCCCUAGGUAGUUUCGUCACAUGGCCAUAUGCUUGGG